CAAAGCCUUGGAUGCUUCAGGUUUUCUCCAAACUUUAUAUCCCUGACUCAUUAAACACCAGGAGUCUGGUUCCACCUAAUUCUUUGUCGCUACAGAGCCUGAUUAGUAGGAAUAAUUUCUUUGAAGAAC
Molecule: long non-coding RNA, 129 nt
Organism: Lemur catta (Ring-tailed lemur)
Lineage: Eukaryota; Metazoa; Chordata; Mammalia; Primates; Lemuridae
Exons: 3
Source: RefSeq, a predicted model, not a curated record